RNAcentral lists this ribosomal RNA (253 nucleotides) under uncultured bacterium. RNAcentral's name for it is "partial 16S ribosomal RNA". It matches the Rfam family "Bacterial small subunit ribosomal RNA", at positions 524 to 776 of the family's 1533-position model. The record is from RNAcentral.
UACGUAGGAUGCAAGCGAUGUCCGGAUUUAUUGGGUUUAAAGGGUGGGAAGGCGGUCAUUUAAGUUAGUGUUAAAAUCGCUUGGCUUAACCGAAUACCCGCCAUUGAUACUGAUAGACUUGAGUGCGACAGAGGGUGUUGGAAUGUGUGGUGUAGCGGUGAAAUGCUUAGAUAUCACGCAGAACACCAAUUGCGAAGGCAGAUGCCUAUGUCGUAACUGACGCUGAGGCACGAAAGCGUGGGGAGCAAACAGG